This 318-nucleotide ribosomal RNA is filed under the name Salmonella enterica subsp. enterica serovar Anatum. RNAcentral describes it as "partial 23S ribosomal RNA". The stretch from base 1 to 102 matches the Rfam family "Bacterial large subunit ribosomal RNA", at positions 462 to 563 of the family's 2925-position model. Lineage: Bacteria; Pseudomonadati; Pseudomonadota; Gammaproteobacteria; Enterobacterales; Enterobacteriaceae. The record is from RNAcentral.
AAGGCUAAAUACUCCUGACUGACCGAUAGUGAACCAGUACCGUGAGGGAAAGGCGAAAAGAACCCCGGCGAGGGGAGUGAAAAAGAACCUGAAACCGUGUACGUACAAGCAGUGGGAGCCCCACCACCAAAGCAUUCUCUGGUGUUGAAGGCCCUGCAAAGCAGCAUCGCGGUGGCGGAGCGUCGUUUGCGCAAAAUUAAAAUAGCCAUACUUAUCCAUAGGGGACACGGUGUGAAUAAAGGUAUCAAUACCAAUAUCAUCAGCCAGUAAUCGCGUCGCCUGAUGAAAAUUUGAAGGUACAUAGUUAACUAUUUUUCG